UGUCUAUUAAUUGUAGACCUGUAUGAAAGGCAAAAUGAGGGUUUAACUGUCUCUUAUAAUAAAUCAAUUAAACUGAUCUCCCAGUAAAAAAGCUGGUAUACUCACAUAAGACCAGAAGACCCUGUGAAGCUUAAACUAAACUACUAAACCCCAUAGUAAUUACUUUCGGUUGGGGCGACCUUGGAAAUAAAAAGAACUUCCAAAUAUUAUGAUUAUAGCUCAUACACACCAGGCCAACAAGCCUAUAAAUUAGACCCAGCACAGCUGAUAACUGAACCAAGUUACUCCAGGGAUAACAGCGCUAUCUUCUUCAAGAGCCCAUAUCAAAAAGAAGGUUUACGACCUCGAUGUUGGAUCAGGACAUCCUAAUGGUGCA
RNAcentral lists this ribosomal RNA (376 nucleotides) under Cubophis vudii (Bahamian racer). Its description in RNAcentral is "partial 16S ribosomal RNA". It matches the Rfam family "Bacterial large subunit ribosomal RNA", at positions 1970 to 2557 of the family's 2925-position model. The record is from RNAcentral. Lineage: Eukaryota; Metazoa; Chordata; Lepidosauria; Squamata; Dipsadidae.